Molecule: ribosomal RNA, 497 nt
Filed under: uncultured bacterium
Lineage: Bacteria
Description: partial 16S ribosomal RNA
Rfam family: Bacterial small subunit ribosomal RNA
Source: RNAcentral
GAUGAACGCUGGCGGCGUGCCUAAUACAUGCAAGUCGAGCGAACGGACGAGAAGCUUGCUUCUCUGAUGUUAGCGGCGGACGGGUGAGUAACACGUGGAUAACCUACCUAUAAGACUGGGAUAACUUCGGGAAACCGGAGCUAAUACCGGAUAAUAUUUUGAACCGCAUGGUUCAAAAGUGAAAGACGGUCUUGCUGUCACUUAUAGAUGGAUCCGCGCUGCAUUAGCUAGUUGGUAAGGUAACGGCUUACCAAGGCAACGAUGCAUAGCCGACCUGAGAGGGUGAUCGGCCACACUGGAACUGAGACACGGUCCAGACUCCUACGGGAGGCAGCAGUAGGGAAUCUUCCGCAAUGGGCGAAAGCCUGACGGAGCAACGCCGCGUGAGUGAUGAAGGUCUUCGGAUCGUAAAACUCUGUUAUUAGGGAAGAACAUAUGUGUAAGUAAAUGUGCACAGCUUGACGGUACCUAAUGAGAAAGCCACGGCUAACUACGUG